GGAGCAAUUGGUAGCUCGUCGGGCUCAUAUCCCGACAAAGUCGGGAUGCAGGUUCAAGUCCUGACAGUGG
This 70-nucleotide transfer RNA is filed under the name Ignavibacteria bacterium. RNAcentral's name for it is "tRNA-Met". Lineage: Bacteria; Pseudomonadati; Ignavibacteriota; Ignavibacteria. The record is from RNAcentral.